AGUGAACGCUGGCGGUAGGCCUAACACAUGCAAGUCGAACGGCAGCACAGUAAGAGCUUGCUCUUACGGGUGGCGAGUGGCGGACGGGUGAGGAAUACAUCGGAAUCUACUUUUUCGUGGGGGAUAACGUAGGGAAAUUUACGCUAAUACCGCAUACGACCUACGGGUGAAAGCAGGGGAUCUUCGGACCUUGCGCGAUUGAAUGAGCCGAUGUCGGAUUAGCUAGUUGGCGGGGUAAAGGCCCACCAAGGCGACGAUCCGUAGCUGGUCUGAGAGGAUGAUCAGACACACUGGAACUGAGACACGGUCGAGACUCCUACGGGAGGCAGCAGUGGGGAAUAUUGGACAAUGGGCGCAAGCCUGAUCCAGCCAUACCGCGUGGGUGAAGAAGGCCUUCGGGUUGUAAAGCCCUUUUGUUGGGAAAGAAAAGCAGCAGGUUAAUACCCCGCUGUUCUGACGGUACCCAAAGAAUAAGCACCGGCUAACUUCGUG
Molecule: ribosomal RNA, 492 nt
Filed under: uncultured bacterium
Lineage: Bacteria
Description: partial 16S ribosomal RNA
Rfam family: Bacterial small subunit ribosomal RNA
Source: RNAcentral